GAUGAACACUGGCGGCGUGCCUAAUACAUGCAAGUCGAGCGAACAGACGAGGAGCUUGCUUCUCUGACGUUAGCGGCGGACGGGUGAGUAACACGUGGAUAACCUACCUAUAAGACUGGGAUAACUUCGGGAAACCGGAGCUAAUACCGGAUAAUAUAUUGAACCGCAUGGUUCAAUAGUGAAAGACGGUUUUGCUGUCACUUAUAGAUGGAUCCGCGCCGCAUUAGCUAGUUGGUAAGGUAACGGCUUACCAAGGCAACGAUGCGUAGCCGACCUGAGAGGGUGAUCGGCCACACUGGAACUGAGACACGGUCCAGACUCCUACGGGAGGCAGCAGUAGGGAAUCUUCCGCAAUGGGCGAAAGCCUGACGGAGCAACGCCGCGUGAGUGAUGAAGGUCUUCGGAUCGUAAAACUCUGUUAUUAGGGAAGAACAAAUGUGUAAGUAACUAUGCACGUCUUGACGGUACCUAAUCAGAAAGCCACGGCUAACUACGUG
This 497-nucleotide ribosomal RNA is filed under the name uncultured bacterium. RNAcentral describes it as "partial 16S ribosomal RNA". It matches the Rfam family "Bacterial small subunit ribosomal RNA", at positions 28 to 507 of the family's 1533-position model. The record is from RNAcentral.